RNAcentral lists this ribosomal RNA (497 nucleotides) under uncultured bacterium. RNAcentral describes it as "partial 16S ribosomal RNA". It matches the Rfam family "Bacterial small subunit ribosomal RNA", at positions 28 to 507 of the family's 1533-position model. The record is from RNAcentral.
GAUGAACGCUGGCGGCGUGCCUAAUACAUGCAAGUCGAGCGAACAGAGGAGGAGCGUUCUCCUCUGACGUCAGCGGCGUACGUGUUACUAACACGUGUAUAACCUACCUAUGAGACUCUGAUAACUUCGGGAAACCGUAGCUAAUACCGGAUAAUAUAUUGAACGGGGGGGUUCAAUAGUUAGAGAGGGUUUUGCUGUCGCUUAUAGAUGGAUCCGCGCCUGAUUAGCUAGUUGGUAAGGUAACGGCUUACCAAGGCGACGAUGAGUAGCCGACCUGAGAGGGUGACCGGCCACACUGGAACUGAGACACGGUCCAGACUCCUACGGGAGGCAGCAGUAGGGAAUCUUGCGCAAUGGGCGCAAGCCUGAUGGAGCAACGCCGCGUGAAUGAUGAAGGUCUUCGGAUCGUAAACUUCUGUUAUUCGGGAAGAACAAAUGUGUAUGUAAAUCCGCAGGUCAUGACGGUACCGAAACAGAAAGCACCGGCUAACUACGUG